This 478-nucleotide ribosomal RNA is filed under the name uncultured bacterium. RNAcentral describes it as "bacterial SSU rRNA". It matches the Rfam family "Bacterial small subunit ribosomal RNA", at positions 28 to 502 of the family's 1533-position model. The record is from RNAcentral.
GAUGAACGCUAGCGGCAGGCUUAACACAUGCAAGUCGAGGGGCAGCACGGGUAGCAAUACCUGGUGGCGACCGGCGCAAGGGUGCGUAACGCGUGAGCAACAUGCCCUAUACAGGGGGAUAAUCCAGGGAAACUUGGUCUAAUAUCCCAUAGCAUUUAGAGGAGGCAUCUUCACUAAAUUAAAGCUUCGGUGGUAUAGGAUUGGCUCGCGUGACAUUAGCUUGAUGGUGGGGUAACGGCUCACCAUGGCGAUGAUGUCUAGGGGUUCUGAGAGGAAGACCCCCCAACUGGGACUGAGACACGGCCCAGACUCCUACGGGAGGCAGCAGUGAGGAAUAUUGGACAAUGGAUGGAAAUCUGAUCCAGCCAUGCCGCGUGCAGGAAGACGGCCCUAUGGGUUGUAAACUGCUUUUAUAUGGGAGCAAUAAGGUUUACGAGUAGACCGAUGAGAGUACCAUAUGAAUAAGCAUCGGCUAACG